This 253-nucleotide ribosomal RNA is filed under the name uncultured bacterium. RNAcentral's name for it is "partial 16S ribosomal RNA". It matches the Rfam family "Bacterial small subunit ribosomal RNA", at positions 524 to 776 of the family's 1533-position model. The record is from RNAcentral.
UACGUAGGGUGCAAGCGUUGUCCGGAAUUAUUGGGCGUAAAGAGCUCGUAGGCGGUCUGUCGCGUCGGCUGUGAAAUCCCGAGGCUCAACCUCGGGUCUGCAGUCGAUACGGGCAAACUAGAGUAUUGCAGGGGAGACUGGAAUUCCUGGUGUAGCGGUGAAACGCGCAGAUAUCAGGAGGAACACCGGUGGCGAAGGCGGGUCUCUGGGCAAUAACUGACGCUGAGGAGCGAAAGCGUGGGGAGCGAACAGG